UACGUAGGGCGCAAGCGUUUGUCCGGAAUUAUUGGGCGUAAAGAGCUCGUAGGCGGUUUGUCGCGUCUGCUGUGAAAACCCGAGGCUCAACCUCGGGCCUGCAGUGGGUACGGGCAGACUAGAGUGUGGUAGGGGAGACUGGAAUUCCUGGUGUAGCGGUGGAAUGCGCAGAUAUCAGGAGGAACACCGGUGGCGAAGGCGGGUCUCUGGGCAGUAACUGACG
Molecule: ribosomal RNA, 223 nt
Filed under: uncultured bacterium
Lineage: Bacteria
Description: partial 16S ribosomal RNA
Rfam family: Bacterial small subunit ribosomal RNA
Source: RNAcentral